GAAAAAAAAAAAAGAUUCCUACACAAUGGAUGUAAUGCAUCCUCUUAUGAGUAGGCCAAAAUGUGGAAGGAUAAUUUUGGUCCAAUACCAAAAGAUAUAUCUAUUUCAUUGUCUGGAUCUCAUUCUGGUUGUCCACUGAAUCAUUCUUUUUCUUUGCAAAGUUUAUGAUUUUUCCUGUGAUGACUGAACUGGAAAAAGAUGUGUGCUUGGUUUGAUUUGGAUCAUCAAUACCAGUUUGGGCUUUUAAAGUAAGCCUUCAGGAAAAAAGGGCUUUGUUGGGGUUCAUCUCAAGGAAAGUUACUUUCCUUUAGAGAAAAUUUUGGGAAGAAAUUUUCAUUUGCCAAUUUAGUACAAGAAUUUAGCUCCAUUUCUUAUCCCCUUGCCCCCCAAAUUUGAAAAUUUUGUUAAAGAAAAUCUUUAGAAAAGAUAAAAUGGUAAUAUUUUAUUACUUUCUUUUGGACAUUGGGCUAAAUUGACUGGAAUAUAGAAGUUGCAUCCUAAUUGGGCCAAAUAGCUCAAGAGCUAGCUUGAUUUUUUCUGUUCUUGUAAAGAAAUUUGAAGCUUUGAACAAAAUGGGUACUUGAGUCCUUGUCUUCUUCAACUUGGAUAUUAUGAUCCUUGACUUUUAAUUUGCAUAUGCUUCAAUCCUUCCAUUAAGAUAAUAUGUACUGCACCAUCGCCAUUUAAAUGAAAUGAUCUUAUAGUCCCUAAGAAAACUUAAAACUAAUUAUGAAAUCAAUGACGAAAUAGUUUUAUUUAAAAACUUGGAUACUUAAGUGUUUAUUACAUUAAUGGAAGGACUAAAGUGAGUGAAUUUAAACUCUAUGGACCAUUUAAUCUAAGUUGGAAAAAGAAAGAAACCAAAAUGGUAUAUUUUCUCUAAACUCAGAGGGAGGUGUUUCUAAUGUACCCAAACCAAAAAUCAAGAGAGCACUAGAUGCUGCUAUAUAUAUCCUUGGGGUAGCUUAAUGUUCAAGAUGGCAACUUCUUUGGCCUAAAUCAUUGUAUACGAGAUGGCCCUUCCUGAUAAAAGAAUGGAAACACAGGUAUUUAAAAAAGGGAAGGAAAUUCAGAUGGGUCAUAUUGUUUAUAACCAUGCUUUUGCAAGCAUGGUUGUGAUGAAAAAUUGUGUUGCCACAGUUGAAGUGCAUUAAUCAGGCUGAAAAUUGAAACAAUUGUAAGUCUUUCCCAAAAUUUUAUUGGAAUUUGGACUUCAUUUUUCUUCCUUUUCCUCCAGGAUGUGUGUGUAAUUAUAUGUUUAUAUUAUAUACCAUGUUUUGGGUAAUGUCAGUAUACUACUUACGCUGUUUAUAACAGUGCAUUUUGGUUGAAGCAUGCGUCUUAUUUUCUACUCCAGUUGAUUGAUUUUAUGUAUUUUUAAUUGAUGAUCAAUGUUGCUUGGUUAUUGUUAUUCGGAUUGUUCUUCUUUCUCCAUUAAUUGAGUCUGAUUGUUCAGGGUUUUAAGAGAGUAUUUAAUGUGGCUGGGGGAAUCCACGCUUAUGCUGUCAAGGCUGAUCCAUCAAUUCCUACUUAUUGACAGAGUUUGCUAUUCCAUCGAUCAGGUUGCUUCACAGUAGUUGUACAUUUCCAAAAUGGAAUUCUUUGAGCAAGAAAAUUGUAUUAUGAUGCAGCUGAUAUGAGAAGUAGCCACUACCAAUUUUGCAGAUAUUAUUCUGAGAGAGGGAGAAUAAAUGAGUUCAUUUUGUUUCUGGUGUUUCGUUCACUAUUAUUACAAUUCUGGAAGUGAAACUUUACUGGUGGUCUUGAAUUUGGACUCGUUUUCACUAUCCAACCAACCCCAACCACAUCAGCUGCAGUAUAAGAAAUAAUUUAAACUGAAUGUCUUGGUCUGGCCUCUGGGUGCAGUUUAGAACAUAGAUAGCCUAAAAAGAACCGAGCCAAACUUAUUAUACUAACAAAAAUACGCUGUUUUACCUUUCAUAUGUUUCUAUAUGUGUGUUUCACAGUCGGCAUAAAGUACAAGGUUGUGUUUGAUGUUUAAAUCUUGUUUUAAUGGCUGUGUUAUCAUCAGUUUUGUGUUUACUAUCAAUUCCACUUUAGUUAACGAAACAGGCAAGUUAACUUGAUCCCAGAUGUGAAUAUUAGCAAUAGCUUAUGGCUUAUUUGUUGUCCCUUCCAGCUUAAGAGGAUCCAUGUUGCCUUUGUG
This 2167-nucleotide unclassified non-coding RNA is filed under the name Hevea brasiliensis (rubber tree). The record is from RNAcentral. Lineage: Eukaryota; Viridiplantae; Streptophyta; Magnoliopsida; Malpighiales; Euphorbiaceae.